AUAAAAGAGCGAAGAAAAGCUACCUCUCCAGAGUUCAUGUUUUCAUCGCUCAACUGGAUGAAAACUGAAUCUUCUAUGGAAUUUUAAAGGCCACGCAUGUCGAGCAGAAUUUGGUAGAACAACAUAAGCAAAUCUGUAUAAGAAACAAAGAUUACAGACUGCACUUUUGGGAGAAUCUGCUUGUUUGAAAAUUAAGCAGAAUUUGGUAGCAUAACAUAAGCA
Molecule: non-coding RNA, 222 nt
Organism: Momordica charantia (bitter melon)
Lineage: Eukaryota; Viridiplantae; Streptophyta; Magnoliopsida; Cucurbitales; Cucurbitaceae
Source: RefSeq, a predicted model, not a curated record